UAGUAGGUGGUUUAGUGGUAAGAAUUUAAGACUAAGAAAUUUGUUCUCUCUGUGGUCUCAGGUUCGAGCCUUGUAAUUGCUAA
RNAcentral lists this transfer RNA (83 nucleotides) under Salix viminalis (osier). Lineage: Eukaryota; Viridiplantae; Streptophyta; Magnoliopsida; Malpighiales; Salicaceae. The record is from RNAcentral.